This 325-nucleotide ribosomal RNA is filed under the name uncultured eukaryote. RNAcentral's name for it is "partial 18S ribosomal RNA". It matches the Rfam family "Eukaryotic small subunit ribosomal RNA", at positions 1470 to 1796 of the family's 1831-position model. The record is from RNAcentral.
CCCUUAGAUGUUCUGGGCUGCACGCGCGCUACACUGACUGGUGCAACAAGUGUCGCUCCUUGGCCGAUAGGCCUGGGCAAUCUUUGAACGCCAGUCGUGAUGGGGAUAGAUUCUUGCAAUUUUUGAUCUUCAACGAGGAAUUCCUAGUAAACGCGAGUCAUCAACUCGCAUUGAUUACGUCCCUGCCCUUUGUACACACCGCCCGUCGCACCUACCGAUUGAAUGGUCCGGUGAACCCUCCGGAUCGGCUCGCGCCAACGCAAGUUGAGCAAAGGCCGAGAAGUUGGGUAAACCUUACCAUUUAGAGGAAGGUGAAGUCGUAACA